GGGUGAGGUAGAGGCGCGAUUACUAAGAGUACCUAUAUUAAGGCCGGAAGCCAAUGAUGUAUAGGGAAAGGAGUUAUCGCCGAAGUGUCAGAUACCAAAAUCUGAGGCUGGGCCUGCAUCGAAUAGGUGUAGGACUGUCAUCAUUGUAUCUGCCCGAUACUUUGAUGUUGAGCUAUCUCACUA
RNAcentral lists this non-coding RNA (183 nucleotides) under Schnuerera ultunensis. RNAcentral's name for it is "Clostridium ultunense Lysine sequence". It matches the Rfam family "Lysine riboswitch aptamer". Rfam says of the family: Riboswitches are metabolite binding domains within certain messenger RNAs that serve as precision sensors for their corresponding targets. Allosteric rearrangement of mRNA structure is mediated by ligand binding, and this results in modulation of gene expression. Lineage: Bacteria; Bacillati; Bacillota; Tissierellia; Tissierellales; Tepidimicrobiaceae. The record is from RNAcentral. RNAcentral also lists the same sequence under 1 other name.